Molecule: ribosomal RNA, 507 nt
Filed under: Staphylococcus sp.
Lineage: Bacteria; Bacillati; Bacillota; Bacilli; Caryophanales; Staphylococcaceae
Description: bacterial SSU rRNA
Rfam family: Bacterial small subunit ribosomal RNA
Source: RNAcentral
ACCUGAGAGGGUGAUCGGCCACACUGGAACUGAGACACGGUCCAGACUCCUACGGGAGGCAGCAGUAGGGAAUCUUCCGCAAUGGGCGAAAGCCUGACGGAGCAACGCCGCGUGAGUGAUGAAGGUCUUCGGAUCGUAAAACUCUGUUAUUAGGGAAGAACAAAUGUGUAAGUAACUAUGCACGUCUUGACGGUACCUAAUCAGAAAGCCACGGCUAACUACGUGCCAGCAGCCGCGGUAAUACGUAGGUGGCAAGCGUUAUCCGGAAUUAUUGGGCGUAAAGCGCGCGUAGGCGGUUUCUUAAGUCUGAUGUGAAAGCCCACGGCUCAACCGUGGAGGGUCAUUGGAAACUGGGAAACUUGAGUGCAGAAGAGGAAAGUGGAAUUCCAUGUGUAGCGGUGAAAUGCGCAGAGAUAUGGAGGAACACCAGUGGCGAAGCGACUUUCUGGUCUGUAACUGACGCUGAUGUGCGAAARCGUGGGGAUCAAACAGGAUUAGAUACCCUGG